This 888-nucleotide ribosomal RNA is filed under the name uncultured bacterium. RNAcentral describes it as "bacterial SSU rRNA". It matches the Rfam family "Bacterial small subunit ribosomal RNA", at positions 505 to 1397 of the family's 1533-position model. The record is from RNAcentral.
GUGCCAGCCGCCGCGGUAAUACGGAAGGUCCGGGCGUUAUCCGGAUUUAUUGGGUUUAAAGGGAGCGCAGGCGGGAGGCUAAGCGUGACGUGAAAUGUACCGGCUCAACCGGUGACGUGCGUCGCGAACUGGUUUUCUUGAGUGGGUACGACGCCGGCGGAAUUCGUGGUGUAGCGGUGAAACGCUUAGAUAUCACGAAGAACCCCGAUUGCGAAGGCAGCCGGCGAGUCCUCAACUGACGCUAAAGCUCGAAGGUGCGGGUAUCGAACAGGAUUAGAUACCCUGGUAGUCCGCACGGUAAACGAUGGAUGCCCGCUGUUUGCGAUAUAUUGUAAGCGGCCAAGCGAAAGCGUUAAGCAUCCCACCUGGGGAGUACGCCGGCAACGGUGAAACUCAAAGGAAUUGACGGGGGCCCGCACAAGCGGAGGAACAUGUGGUUUAAUUCGAUGAUACGCGAGGAACCUUACCCGGGCUUGAACUGCAGAGGAAUGCGGUGGAGACACCAAAGCCCUUCGGGGUCUCUGUGGAGGUGCUGCAUGGUUGUCGUCAGCUCGUGCCGUGAGGUGUCGGCUUAAGUGCCAUAACGAGCGCAACCCCUUUCGCCAGUUGCCAUCACUUCGGGUGGGCACUCUGGUGACACUGCCACCGUAAGGUGUGAGGAAGGUGGGGAUGACGUCAAAUCAGCACGGCCCUUACGUCCGGGGCUACACACGUGUUACAAUGGGGAGUACAGAGAGUCGAGUGCCGGCAACGUCACUCCAAUCCAUAAAGCUCUCCUCAGUUCGGAUUGGGGUCUGCAACCCGACCCCAUGAAGCUGGAUUCGCUAGUAAUCGCGCAUCAGCCAUGGCGCGGUGAAUACGUUCCCGGGCCUUGUACACACCGCCCGU